RNAcentral lists this RNase P RNA (392 nucleotides) under Ignavibacteria bacterium GWF2_33_9. RNAcentral's name for it is "RNase P RNA component class A". It matches the Rfam family "Bacterial RNase P class A". Rfam says of the family: Ribonuclease P (RNase P) is a ubiquitous endoribonuclease, found in archaea, bacteria and eukarya as well as chloroplasts and mitochondria. Its best characterised activity is the generation of mature 5'-ends of tRNAs by cleaving the 5'-leader elements of precursor-tRNAs. The record is from RNAcentral. Lineage: Bacteria; Pseudomonadati; Ignavibacteriota; Ignavibacteria.
ACGGAAGUGUGGAUAGUGGCGGGGACUUUGAGUCCCUGAGGAAAGUCCGAACUCCAAAGAGCAAUCCGCUUUCUAACGGAAAGCUGGAGCAAUCCAGGGAAAGUGCCACAGAAAAUAUACAGCCAAUUUUUUUUUGAAAUUGGUAAUGGUGAAAUGGCGAGGUAAGAGCUCACCGCUUCGAUGGCGACAUCGGAGGCAGGGUAAACCCCGGAUGGAGCAAAGGCAAGUAAGAUUGCAAAAGGUUUCGUACCUCUUUUUCUGCUCGGAAAAGUGCCCGAAAGGGCAAUGCAAUCGGGUAGCCUGCUUGAGCAUUACGGCAACGUAUUGUCCAGAUAAAUCACUAUUGUGGACUUCUGUCCAUACAGAAUUCGGCUUAUAGCAUUUCCGUAAUU